This 1580-nucleotide long non-coding RNA is filed under the name Junco hyemalis (dark-eyed junco). RNAcentral's name for it is "lncRNA (ENSJHYG00000014931.1)". Lineage: Eukaryota; Metazoa; Chordata; Aves; Passeriformes; Passerellidae. The record is from RNAcentral.
CCCCUGGAUCCCAUCCCACCCUACCCCUCAGAGCCUCGGCAGGCACUCGCAGCUCAGUGCAAAGUCUCAGUAAACAUUUAUUCGAAGCUUUGCCACAAUACCUUAAGUUGAUUUGUGAAACUGGUCUACAAAUACUGAACUACGGAGUACAUGGUUUGGAUGGUCCGAUAAAGGAAUAAAUAAAGGCAUGUAAAGCUCUGUAAAAAAUAAGUCUGGUACAGUUGUAACUACUAACAGUAUUACCAGUAGGAUCUCGUAUGUGUCUAGGAUCAGAAGUGAACACACGGCAUCUCUUCAGACCAAAUCGUUUUUACAUAAACAAUUGUACAAACUGAAACACUGUAAUCAUGAAACCUGAUGUACAAAACAGGAUGUGAAAUCACUACCAUCAGUGCCAACAACAAGUGCUACCACAGCAAAUAGAACUUCUGAAUAAAAGGAAAAGAUCGGUUUUUACAUGUGCUGUCAUCACAGGUCGAUGGAAUUAUCCAAAAAGUUUAAAAUACAUGCGGAUACAAUAAAACCUUUUAUUUUCCAACCCAGACAAAGAGAACUCAUGGUCACUUAACACCAUUAGCUGCCAAAUACGGAUCAGUAUGUGAGGCAAACCACACUUAAACACUUCUACACCACCGAAGAGCUAAGGUUGAUACUGGUCUAUCCACAGCGACGAUGCAACGAGCCUCGAGAAGCAAAGCACGACGUGAAGGACGCGCUAGAAGCGCAGCACUGAGCCACACCAGGUUUGUACACUGCACUCUGACACCCAAAAACCACUGGGAAAGCGUCACAUCCCACAGGACACAUCGGGUAUCUACAGCGGUGUGCGUCCGGAGGAGCCGCCCUGCCUGAGGGGAAAACUGCAGGAUUGCAAAGGCUGGGUCCUAAAGGACGCAGGUGAAAAUCCUCCAGAGAGGGAAGAGAACUGCAGGAUUGCAAAUGUUGGGUCCCAGAGCAGGCAGAUGAAAACCCUCCAGGGAGGGAAGAGAACUGAAGGAUUCCAAAAGCUGGGUCCUAAAGCAGGCAAGCAAAAACCUUCAGGAACGGGAAGAACCCUGCAGGAUUGCAAAGCUGGGUCCCAGAGGAGGCAGCUGAAAACAUCCAGGAAUGGGAAGAACCCUGCAGGAUUGCAAAGCUGGGUCCCAGAGCAGGCAGGUGAAAGCCCUGGAACCUCGUGGAGUUCCCAAUCCCAGCAGCCAGAGCCCUUCCUUGGCACUUGUGCCCACUGCUCACACAGGGAUGGGCUCUCCAGUGGCCACAGGAAGGUCCAGGAGCAGGUCCAGGUCCUGUCCUGCAGGAGCAGCCAGCUGGGGCUGUCCCUGUGUCACCUGUGCCCCAGCAGCAGCUCCCAGCAGGGCACCACGGGCACGGCUGUGGCAGAGCUCCGUGAAGUCACAGCAAAAUGCCAAAGCCACCAGGGUUGUCCCAUGCCAUCCCUGCCCUGGGCAGGUGUCACUGCUGAGGGCUCCUCCAGUGCCACCCCUGCAGGUGUCACUGCUAAGGGAUGUCCCAGUGCCACCCUGCAGGUGUCACCUGCCAGGGUUUGUCCACAGGUGACACAGAGCCCUGCCUGUCUCUGA